UAUUCAGUUUAUAUACCGUCGUUAUUAGAAUAUUUUACAAGAAUGUUAAUUUUCUAAAUUUUGAUUUAAAAAAUAUAUCAGAUCAAGGUGUAGCUAAUAUUUAAGUAGAAAUGGGUUACAAUAAAUUUAUUUAAACGAAUAUAAAUUUGAAAUAUUUAUUGAAGGUGGAUUUGAUAGUAAAAUUAUAAAGAUAAAUAAUUUGAUUUUAGCUCUAAAAUAUGCACACAUCGCCCGUCACUCUUAUUAUUAAGGUAAGAUAAGUCGUAACAUAGUAGAUGUACUGGAAAGUGUACCUAGAAUGCAAUUUAAAGCUUAUUAAGUAAAGCAUUUCAUUUACAUUGAAAAGAUUUUUGUGCAAAUCAAUAUAAAUUGAUUAGAUUUUAUUUAUUAAUAUUGUUUUUAAAAUUAUUAAAUUAUUAAAAGUAUUUAUUAAACGGUUUGUUUUAGUAUUUUAAAAGAAAAAAUAAUUUUUAUUAUAGUGUAAUAGUAUUGUGAAAGAAAAUUGAAAUAAUUUGAAAAAUU
Molecule: ribosomal RNA, 522 nt
Filed under: Sarcophila meridionalis
Lineage: Eukaryota; Metazoa; Arthropoda; Insecta; Diptera; Sarcophagidae
Description: partial 12S ribosomal RNA
Rfam family: tRNA (bases 302-373)
Source: RNAcentral